CCUGUCCUCCGCUCGCCUGUCAGCGUCCCUCCAGCCUCGCUACACACACACACACACAGACGCUUCCCUCCAGCCGUGGGCAGGAUUCAUCAGGGCCGAAAUGCAGAGCCGUGAAGUGUUAAUUUAGCGCUCCUGCUGGCAGAGAGGCUGCUUGGGGAAGGAGAGGGCUGCUGACUGGCAAUCAGAGCAGAAAACAAAGUAGACGAGGGGAGGUCGCUGAGAGCUAAUGUGUCAGUGGACAAUUAGAAAGACGUACCUAAACCACUGUUCACGCAGGCUUUUGGUGUGAGACUACACACUGCUGAGUGAAGUAUCGAUCGUGAAGAGGAGCAUUCAACUGCAUUGAUUUUCAAGUGUUAGAGUCACUUUUCUUAAACCUAUAGUUAGCCUUGUAAAAUCGGAUUUGCCGAACUACUGCUACCACGACUGAAUCAGUUUUCUGAAACAAAUAGUUGCAACAAAUCAGUUGAGUUCUGAAUUAAUACAAAAUAUUAUUGUG
Molecule: long non-coding RNA, 499 nt
Filed under: Astyanax mexicanus (Mexican tetra)
Lineage: Eukaryota; Metazoa; Chordata; Actinopteri; Characiformes; Acestrorhamphidae
Description: lncRNA (ENSAMXG00005021992.1)
Source: RNAcentral